UUCUUGCCCUCUAGUGUUAUCAAACGACAGGUUCAUAAGAGGAAAAAAAACAGAUUCAUUAACCCAGGCACUUCUAACUAAAACAGCUUUCUAAUCUACGAUCUUCAGUUCRUUAGAUAUCGGAUAAAACAAGCAGCAUCUGCUGGCAUUUCAUCCCAACUACAAGCACCGAAUUGCCUUCUACAUUUAACCAUAGCUUCAAUGAACCACUGAAUGGCAUGAUGGCCAUGGAAUCUUCUAGAAUAAGGACCUUGUCUGGUGUCCGGUAAUAGGAGAGUGUCCGCCGAACAGAGGAAGGCGUGAAAAAUGUGAGAUCUGAGCUAAUAGAGGUAAGACUGUAUUAUUAGCAAAUUUGGAAUGAUUCGUCCAGGAUUUAAAUUGAUGUCAAUCGACAACACACUCUAAUCAAUCAUCUUUAGCAAGAGCGAGUCGUCGUUUAGAAAGCGCUAGCAUAGCAGAGGCACCUGGAUGGCGAACACUACUAUGAAGUUAAUAGGAGAUAUAUGGUGUCAAACACUGGGCGUCGCAUAUAACUGCGUGAAAAUAAUUGUUCACCAUGCUAAACGCUAAUCAAAUGAAUAUGAUAUGAACGCUGGCGUACAUUGCUGAA
Actinia tenebrosa (Australian red waratah sea anemone) is the source of this 610-nucleotide long non-coding RNA. NCBI's taxonomy places the organism in Eukaryota, Metazoa, Cnidaria, Anthozoa, Actiniaria, Actiniidae. The record is from RefSeq and is a predicted model, not a curated record.